GACGAACGCUGGCGGCGUGCUUAAUACAUGCAAGUCGAACGGAGUUAAGGGUUUCGGCCUUUAACUUAGUGGCGAACGGGUGAGUAACGCGUGAAUAACCUGACUCAAAGAGGGGGAUAACAACGGGAAACUGUUGCUAAUACCGCAUGAGACCACAACACCGCAUGAUGAAGGGGUCAAAGAUUUAUCGCUUUGAGAGGGGUUCGCGUCCCAUUAGGUAGUUGGAGGGGUAACGGCCCACCAAGCCAACGAUGGGUAGCCGAGCUGAGAGGCUGAUCGGCCACACUGGAACUGAGACACGGUCCAGACUCCUACGGGAGGCAGCAGUAGGGAAUAUUGGGCAAUGGGCGCAAGCCUGACCCAGCAACGCCGCGUGAGGGAAGAAGGUUUUCGGAUUGUAAACCUCUGUGGACAGGGACGAUAAUGACGGUACCUGUUUAGAAAGCCACGGCUAACUACGUG
This 462-nucleotide ribosomal RNA is filed under the name uncultured bacterium. RNAcentral describes it as "bacterial SSU rRNA". It matches the Rfam family "Bacterial small subunit ribosomal RNA", at positions 28 to 507 of the family's 1533-position model. The record is from RNAcentral.